RNAcentral lists this long non-coding RNA (684 nucleotides) under Salmo salar (Atlantic salmon). RNAcentral describes it as "lncRNA (ENSSSAG00000116009.1)". Lineage: Eukaryota; Metazoa; Chordata; Actinopteri; Salmoniformes; Salmonidae. The record is from RNAcentral.
GAAUGAGAGCUCUCCAGUCUCUGGGUGAAAAACAGCAGGGGUUUUUGUGAGUGGUCCUUCUGAGAACAAUGACACUGGAGCGCGCAUGCACGAGACAACUCCAUGUUUUACUUUCAGUGUUUGAACGAAUACAACGUCGCCCGGUUGGAAUAUUAUCGCUAUUUUACGAGAAAAAUCGCACACAAAUUUAUUUAAACAGCGUUUGACAUGCUUCGAAGUACGGUAAUGGAAUAUUUUGAAAUAUUUUGUCACGAAACGCGCCGGCGCGUCACCCUUCGGAUAGUUACCUGAACGCAUGAACAAAACGGAGCUAUUUCAAUAUAACUAUGGAUUAUUUCGAACCAAAACAACAUUUGUUGUUGAAGUAGAAGUCCUGGGAGUGCAUUCUGACAAAGAACAGCAAAGCAGACGAACAGUGGAGAGGAGCAACGAUUAUCGGGCAACGAGGUGGACUUCAGUCGGUCGAUGUUUCCGGUCUGAAUGGCCUGCUUAUUAAGACAGCUGUGACAGAAUUACCCACCAAACCAGGACCAAGCAGCAGAGGAACGAGGAGGAAGGAUGGACGUGGGCGGAGAUAAGGAGGAGCGUUUCCAGGGCUAUGGAAGAGUUUAGUAAACUCGAGAGGCAGCCCCAAUAAUUGUUUGGCGGGGGGCACAAGGGCAGUUUUGCGGGGCAAGAAUGGAG